Molecule: ribosomal RNA, 484 nt
Filed under: uncultured bacterium
Lineage: Bacteria
Description: partial 16S ribosomal RNA
Rfam family: Bacterial small subunit ribosomal RNA
Source: RNAcentral
AUUGAACGCUGGCGGCAUGCUUUACACAUGCAAGUCGAACGGCAGCGCGGGCUUCGCCCUGUCGGCGAGUGGCGAACGGGUGAGUAAUGCAUCGGAACGUGCCCAGUAGCUUGGGAUAGCGCGGCGAAAGCCGGAUUAAUACCGCAAACGACCUGAGGGUGAAAGCGGGGGACCGAAAGAUCUUGCGCUAUUGGACGAGCCGAUGUCGGAUUAGCUAGUUGGUGGGGUAAAGGCUUACCAAGGCGACGAUCCGUAGCUGGUCUGAGAGGACGACCAGCCACACUGGGACUGAGACACGGCCCAGACUCCUACGGGAGGCAGCAGUGGGGAAUUUUGGACAAUGGGGGCAACCCUGAUCCAGCCAUGCCGCGUGCGGGAAGAAGGCCUUCGGGUUGUAAACCGCUUUUGUUCGGGAAGAAAUCCUCUGGGCUAAUACCCCGGGGGGAUGACGGUACCGAAAGAAUAAGCACCGGCUAACUACGUG